RNAcentral lists this ribosomal RNA (143 nucleotides) under Ophiopogon marmoratus. Its description in RNAcentral is "5.8S ribosomal RNA". It matches the Rfam family "5.8S ribosomal RNA". Rfam says of the family: 5.8S ribosomal RNA (5.8S rRNA) is a component of the large subunit of the eukaryotic ribosome. It is transcribed by RNA polymerase I as part of the 45S precursor that also contains 18S and 28S rRNA. The record is from RNAcentral. Lineage: Eukaryota; Viridiplantae; Streptophyta; Magnoliopsida; Asparagales; Asparagaceae.
CGACUCUCGGCAACGGAUAUCUUGGCUCUCGCAUCGAUGAAGAACGCAGCGAAAUGGGAUACUUGGUGUGAAUUGCAGAAUCCCGUGAACCAUCGAGUCUUUGAACGCAAGUUGCGCCCGAGGCUAUCCGGCCGAGGGCACGC